Molecule: long non-coding RNA, 256 nt
Filed under: Helianthus annuus (common sunflower)
Lineage: Eukaryota; Viridiplantae; Streptophyta; Magnoliopsida; Asterales; Asteraceae
Description: sRNA HanXRQr2_Chr06g0275291
Source: RNAcentral
GGAAAUAACAUAAGUAUGCGUUGCUUAAACUAGAAAGCUUUAAAGCAAAAGUUAUGUAAACGGGUCAAUACCUUGACCCGAGCCAGGUACACUUUGGGAUGCCGGAAGACGAUCAAGCUCAACGAAGAACCGAACACACCAUAGAUACACGCUUCCGCACUUUGCUAUGUUGAAAAUUUUAAACAACGAAUUCAACCACGUGAUCCUUGGUUUAAGAGAUUCGAGUAUGGUGGGGAGGAACCAUGCUUGGACUUAA